UGUGUGUGUACUAUGUAUAAAGGAAUAGGCGUUCAACUCCUAAUAAUGCCUAGAUGCAGUACUGUGUGCCAUAUGUCGCAAAUGGCAAAACCAUUUCUGUGAUUUUAAUAAGUUUUUUCCCCCUCGCACAUGAAACGCCAUGGACAAAUUUGGCCUCUUUCAUUUCCCAUCCCGUGACGACUAUUUGGAGAACCAAGAAAAUGUGUUGAGGAAUUUUCAAGGGAAACUUCGAAAUGGCAAAUGUUUCAAAAAAACAUACGAUGCGUGUGAAAUAACCUCAAAGGUCAGUGAAUUAACAGAGAUGGCACUUGAGCUUGCACCUGCUCAAAAGACCAACAGGAAGGUUGACACCACGCCUCCAAACCAGAAAGUCAAAGACACCAACAAAGUUGCAAGCAAACAAAACGCUAAGACAAAAAGAGAUGCCGUCAGAUGGACACAGAGACUCAAAGGUUCAACGUUACCAGUGAAGACUGAUGGGACCGGAGGAACGUUUUGCACCGAACCUGAAACGCCAAUCGGGGAACGCGAGUGCAAAGCUACCAAAUCACCCAUGAAGGUCACAAGCACCAGGAUAGGUUCUGGCCUAAAACAAAAGACUCGGCAAAGACUCAAAGCCAAAAAGUCACCUGUGAAGGCUGUGCAAGUUAAAGGAAUGAAGAAAAAAACUGCCAUCCAAUCGGAGACUCACACAAGGAAGCGUGAGGUCAAACUUGCCGAAAUGCCACCAAAAGGGAGCAAACUCCAAUCGGG
Syngnathus acus (greater pipefish) is the source of this 753-nucleotide long non-coding RNA. RefSeq lists it as uncharacterized. The transcript is spliced from 3 exons. The record is from RefSeq and is a predicted model, not a curated record. Lineage: Eukaryota; Metazoa; Chordata; Actinopteri; Syngnathiformes; Syngnathidae.